AUACGGAUGGUGCGAGCGUUGUUCGGAAUUACUGGGCGUAAAGGGCGCGUAGGCGGCGAUGUAAGUCAAAUGUGAAAGUCCUCGGCUUAACCGGGGAAGUGCAUCUGAAACUGCAUUGCUUGAGUAUGGGAGAGGAAAGUGGAAUUCCCGGUGUAGAGGUGAAAUUCGUAGAGAUCGGGAGGAAUACCGGUGGCGAAGGCGACUUUCUGGACCAAUACUGACGCUGAGGCGCGAAAGCGUGGGGAGCAAACAGGAUUAGAUACCCUAGUAGUCC
RNAcentral lists this ribosomal RNA (274 nucleotides) under uncultured bacterium. RNAcentral describes it as "partial 16S ribosomal RNA". It matches the Rfam family "Bacterial small subunit ribosomal RNA", at positions 523 to 796 of the family's 1533-position model. The record is from RNAcentral.